CCCUUCGGGGUGUGACUGCGUACCUUUUGUAUAAUGGGUCAGCGACUUAUAUUCUGUAGCAAGGUUAACCGUAUAGGGGAGCCGGAGGGAAACCGAGUCUUAAUUGGGCGUUAAGUUGCAGGGUAUAGACCCGAAACCCGGUGAUCUAGCCAUGGGCAGGUUGAAGGUUGGGUAACACUAACUGGAGGACCGAACCGACUAAUGUUGAAAAAUUAGCGGAUGACCUGUGGCUGGGGGUGAAAGGCCAAUCAAACCGGGAGAUAGCUGGUUCUCCCCGAAAGCUAUUUAGGUAGCGCCUCGUGAAUUCAUCUCCGGGGGUAGAGCACUGUUUCGGCUAGGGGGCCAUCCCGGCUUACCAACCCGAUGCAAACUGCGAAUACCGGAGAAUGUUAUCACGGGAGACACACGGCGGGUGCUAACGUCCGUCGUGAAGAGGGAAACAACCCAGACCGCCAGCUAAGGUCCCAAAGUCAUGGUUAAGUGGGAAACGAUGUGGGAAGGCCCAGACAGCCAGGAUGUUGGCUUAGAAGCAGCCAUCAUUUAAAGAAAGCGUAAUAGCUCACUGGUCGAGUCGGCCUGCGCGGAAGAUGUAACGGGGCUAAACCAUGCACCGAAGCUGCGGCAGCGAACGUAUCACCCAAGACAACUUUACGGAGUUGACGAUUGACGGAGCGAAGCGACGUCAAAGCGUUCAUUAAAGUCGAGUUGGCUUAGGGAUACGUUCGUUGGGUAGGGGAGCGUUCUGUAAGCCUGUGAAGGUGUGUCGUGAGGCAUGCUGGAGGUAUCAGAAGUGCGAAUGCUGACAUAAGUAACGAUAAAGCGGGUGAAAAGCCCGCUCGCCGGAAGACCAAGGGUUCCUGUCCAACGUUAAUCGGGGCAGGGUGAGUCGACCCCUAAGGCGAGGCCGAAAGGCGUAGUCGAUGGGAAACGGGUUAAUAUUCCCGUACUUGGUGUUACUGCGAAGGGGGGACGGAGAAGGCUAUGUUGGCCGGGCGACGGUUGUCCCGGUUUAAGCGUGUAGGUGUGUGUUCCAGGUAAAUCCGGUU
Molecule: ribosomal RNA, 1046 nt
Filed under: Salmonella enterica
Lineage: Bacteria; Pseudomonadati; Pseudomonadota; Gammaproteobacteria; Enterobacterales; Enterobacteriaceae
Also listed under: 2 other names
Description: partial 23S ribosomal RNA
Rfam family: Bacterial large subunit ribosomal RNA
Source: RNAcentral